RNAcentral lists this ribosomal RNA (254 nucleotides) under uncultured bacterium. RNAcentral describes it as "partial 16S ribosomal RNA". It matches the Rfam family "Bacterial small subunit ribosomal RNA", at positions 524 to 777 of the family's 1533-position model. The record is from RNAcentral.
GACGAACCGUGCGAACGUUGUUCGGAAUCACUGGGCUUAAAGGGCGCGUAGGCGGCUCAUCAAGUCCGGGGUGAAAGCCCCCAGCUCAACUGGGGAAGUGCCUCGGAUACUGGUGAGCUCGAGGGAGGUAGGGGCGGAUGGAACUUCCGGUGGAGCGGUGAAAUGCGUUGAUAUCGGAAGGAACGCCGGUGGCGAAAGCGAUCCGCUGGCCCUCUACUGACGCUGAGGCGCGAAAGCCAGGGGAGCAAAGCGGG